CUCAUUGUCUAAUUGAGAAUAGAUUGUAAAUUUAGAUUUGAAGGGAAGCUUUAGAUUAGCAGUAACCAUUAUUACUGUUCGGUGACCGAUGAAUCAAAAUUUAUGACUUAGUAUUUUGGCAUUUCAGCGUUGUCCGAUGAAUUAAUCGCAGCCGAAAAGGAGACGAAAAAGUUAACAAUGAUCGGAGCUCCGGUGAGUUGGCAUUUCAAUAUUUUUUUAGCAUUGUUUCUUUAGAAAUCUUUGUUGUUUUAGAACUAAGCUUGAAUUUAUGGAUUUUAAGGUUAAUGUAUACUUCUAAUUGACGAUUUUGAGGUAAGAUUGGUGUUUUUCGCUUACUAAAAGUUUAUUUGAACAAAUUUUGGGAGUAGUUUAUGUUUUAAUGAUAAUUUUAGAUAUUCUGAAGAUAUAGGAGUACUUUUAGUUUCACAACCCUAUUGUAAUAGCUUGUUUGGCAUUUUUCGCCCAUUGAAAGUUAAUUUGAACAAUUUAGGAGUAAAUACGACUGAUCAAUUUAUGUUAUUAGUGUUAAAUUUUUGAUAUUUGUUGUGAUAUAGGAGUAGUACAAUUAUUUGCAAUUAUCCUUGUAAAAUACUCCCUCUAUUACCAACCUUCUUGGCAUUUUUCGCAUACUGAAAAUGAAUUUGAACAAUUUUUAGAGCAACUUCGGCUGGAGUGAUAUAUGUUUUUAGAGGUCGUUUAGUUGGGAAUGGGAUAGAAAAAAUUAUCCCAUGGAUUGGGAUAUCCCAUGGGAUAACUUGUCACAUCAUUAUAAUAUAAAUGAUGGGAUAAUUAAUCUUGGGACUAGCUAAUACUUCUAACAAAACAUAGAAUAAAAUAACCCUACAUCGUAUUUCGGGAUUUUUAUCUUUUGGACCCCUUUUGAUUUUUUUCUUGACUGUUUGUUCUUUCCUCCCUCUAUACUUAUUUAUGUUGUGUUUGAUGGAUGUUUCAUAGAUUCGUUGUCCUUGUUGUUGGUAAUGGUAAUUUUCUUAUAGGAUAGUUGUACUUGGAUUGAGUUAAGUUUUACCAGUUGUAUGGGUUGAGUUUUACACUUUUAGCCAUGCCAAAGUCUGAUAUCUUUAUCUAGCAAAAUAUUGCUUGCUUUAUGGUCUCUAUGGAUAAUUCGUAGUUGAGAGUCUUGAUGAAGAUAUGAUAACCUGUGAGCGAUUCCAUUAAUGAUGUCAAACCACUUUGGCCAAUCAAGUAAUUUACUCUUUGUUUUAUCUAUAAAGUAAGUUUUCUUAUUAGUAGCUUCAUUAAUGUUUUGAAUAAUAGAUCAUAGUAUCAAAUCAUCUUAGCUUCUGUAAUAGGUCAGAUAUCAAAACCAAAUAUGUAUAAAUCCAGGCUUUUGUUAGGCAUGUAUUCAUAGAUCAACAUCUUUUCUUCUCCUUGGAUGCAGCAACCCAAAAGUCUCAUAGGAUUUUGGUGUUGAAGCUUGGAAAUAUAGAUAACUUUGUUCUUGUAUUCAUCAAGUCCCUGCAUGGAAGUCCUUGACAACCUCUUUAUUGCAAUUUCUUGUCCCUCUUCCAGCACUCCCUAGAAAUAGAAAAUGUAUUAUAUUAGAACAUAGGUUUUACAAAGACGAGAAUAUUGCAGAUCGAAAAUAAUCUCUAAUACUCUGAUCUUGAGCAUAAACUAGUUACCCUUCCAACAAAUUUACAUUGUAUACCUUGAAAAUAGGUCCAACUCCACCCUCUCCAAUCUUCUGAUUGAAUAAAAAGUUUUUUGUGGAUCUUUCUAUUGUUGAAAAUAGUAACAGUGGAAACUCUAUAUCGUCUCUGAAUUUCAGUUUCUUUUUUUUCCAUCUUUACCACAACCAAAUCAGGAUCAACAGAAUUGUUUCCGUGAAUAAUGAGAAACUAACUGUGAGUAUCUUUUCCUUUUUUCUUAUUGAACCUACCUCAGAUUCUACAGUCAAUUUUUUUGAGUUAGCCACUGUAAAUAAAGACACACCUCUAACUUUUCAUAGUACCAUCUUGUCUGGUGAAAACUAAGUUAAGAAAUUCUUCAGGUGAAAUUUCAUAAACAAGUUCUUAACUUGCUCUGAAGGAUCCAUCUUGAUGAAAAUAUCUAUUCCUCUUUCGGGAAGUUUUCUGAUGUCAAUUAAUUCCCCAUACCAUAAUAAGCAACCUUGAUCUCCAUAGCUUAUAUCUAGACUUGAAUAAGCUGUGCAAGAGCAAUUCCUGGAGCAUACUUUUCUACACUCUUUGAGUGUCAUUGUUUUAUUGUACUGAGAGUCCUUAGUAUUUGGCAACUUGAUUUUAGAAUAUCUUAGAAAUACAUGUUCCCUAUAGCAAUCUAAGGGUGUCCUCCGAACACACCCUUCUAUCCAAUUACCCUUUUCCCAUAUUGUAGAUAUUUAUCUACAAACUUCUCCAAACAUGCACAAAUAGGUUCAUUAUAUUUGUUAUAUCUCCCAUACAUACCACACAAAUAUGUAUCACAAUUGACUGCAGGUAACUUAUAGUGAACCGUCCAUUUCUUUAUUUGAGCCACCCACAUGAAGCAUUGUAUAUCACCAUCAUCGAAAGGUAAGCCUCAUGGAUAGUUUUAAACUUCUUGCUAAGCUUCAUAUCAGGAAAAUGUGUAUCAGUAGAAAAAUGGAAGCUCUGCCAGAGGAGAGCAAGUAUUCUUGCCGCAUUUACCUUUAGUUGUACAUGAUAGGGGUGUGAUAAGUUUGUUUUAUCUCUAUUGAAAAUAGGGGUUUUGGGAGUUUUGAGAGAAUUAUGCAUUACUCUAGGGUGUGAUAAGUUAUUUUUAUAUCUAUUGGGAAUAAUGUAUUUAAAUGAAACCUUUUUAGGUUGCGCGAUCCCAGUUUCAGGUAACUGCUUUCCAUAUUACUACCUUACGUGACACUUGAUAGAACUCCAGUAUACAAUCAUCUAGUGGUGAUUUUAAUUUUCUACAGAUAUAGUUAAUGGUCUAUCUUCUCUUUGAACAACAAUGACCAAGAACAACUGGAGUUUCGAGAUACAUGGAUAAGUAGUAAGCAGUAAAACCAAUUAUUUUACGUCUUCCCAUUUGAAAAAGAGUUUUUUUUUUGGUAUUAUCAGUCAUAACUAAAAUUAGGCUUCUUUAAAUUGAGGUAGGUUUAGGUUUAUUAUGUGAGGUGUUUUUCUAUUCCCAUUAAAUCAACAUCCACAACUAUUGUAAUACCCCAUAUUUCCCUAGCCAAGAUUAACCCUCAAUACAUGGGUUAUCCUAAAUAAUUUUUUUAGAUUACUCAAUAAUUUUUAGAUUAGAACCUGUUAUUACGUUGGAAAUUCAAUUAGGUUUCCAACGAUAUACAAUUUUCCUAAAUCCGACAACCGAGUAAGAAUUUAUAGCGAUUUUAAGUUUCAGUCAUUAAACAUCGUCAUUCAGGCCAGUAGCGCAUCGCGGAGUGUGUCAAUAUAGAAAUUGUCAAUUUCUAGUGUUUCUCCGUGAUAUUGGCACGUUGCGCCGUAGACCCAGUUCACAACUAUCAAUUUCCAGUGUACCAACGCAAUUCCACCGAGUUGUGAUGCACUUCUAGUUCACAAACAAAGUGGUAAUGCGAUACCACCGCGUCGCGCAACCAUGCAAUUUCCCAGUUGUCAUUUUCCAGUGACACAAUGUGAUAGUGCUGUGUCGUGCUAAGGGUCCAAAUUGAGAAAAUUUCACAAAUAAUUAAAGUUGCACCCGGGGUUAAAUCAGUCUUUUCCUAUGAUUUUAUUCUGCCCAGAUGUGAGAUUUAAGCCCUAAAAUCAUUUAAACCCUUUAUUAUUCACUUUCCCCUAAAAUCAAAAGGUAUUUCUCUCUCAAGAAAACAAACCCUAGCUCUCAAGAAUCAAGGUCAAUUCGAAGAAUCUCUCCAAGAACUCCAAGAAUCUCAUGAAUUAAGGUAUGUUAGAUGUUCAUCCAUGGAUCCUUACCUUCCAUGGAGCCUAAGAAUCCUUUUUCCAAAAUAUAAGAUUUAUGAUUUAUGAUUUCCAUUUAUGAAUUAUCUUGAAUUUAUGUUCAUGGUGUUUUUUGAGUUUUAAUCUAUGAUUUAGAUUACAAAUUCCAAGAAUUGAUUCUAGUAUGUGUUGAAUUUCAUGAUAUUCAUGAUAAACCCUUCAAUUUGCAAGUUGAUUGUUGUAACCAUGUUAACUCUAAGUGUUUAUAACUUAAUGAACCAAGUAUGCUUCUUAUGUGUUUGAUAAAUUGUCUAUGAGAAUGAAAUAAUGCCAUUAUAGCAUGCUAACAUAUAUUCCCCAUCCAUGUACAAGUUAAUGCAUUACAAGUGUUUGAUGGAAUGUCUCUGUGAAUGAAUUAUGCCCAAGUGAACAUUGUUAUGUUAUUCAAGAUAAUGCUUUGCUUUACUUUUCAUGUUAUCGAGUCCUAGGGGUAUUUAAUACCCGAUAAUUUAGCUGUUUACCUAGAGCUAGUGGCAAUGACAUAAUAGUAUCUAUCAUGUCAUGAUUAGUAGUACUCUCAGUCAGUAGAAUUCAGGCAGUUAUAAAACUUCGAAAAACUCAGUAAUCUCAGUAUCAAUCCAGUCCUAUUCAGUAUACUCAAUUCAGUGUCUUUUAGUUAGGAGUAGGAACUAGUACCAAGCGAGGGUGGAAGUGAAGACUUCUCUCGUCAGGAAGAUUGAGUCAUUAGUAGUAGUCUCACACUACAGAACUACAUAGCCAGCGUAGGAUGAGAGGAGUCACCCAUUAGAUUAAGGCUUGGCUACCUCUUAGGGGUCAUCCUUCAAAUUAGGCUUGACUUUCUGUUCAGGGUCACCCAUUAGAUAGGCUUGACCAUAAUAAUGUGUUUACCCGUGGCAUGGUACUAGCACCCUUCCAAAUAGGGUUUACUUAGGGGAAUGUCGGUUAAGUGAGAACUUCCACAAUUUCAGUUCCAAUCUCAGUCUUCAAAAUAGAACUCAGUUCAAUUCUACAGAAUCAGAACUGUUAGAUAUAAUCUCUCAGUUAUCAGUAAAUCAGAUUUUUAGUGAUCUCAAAUUAUCAGUAUAUUUAGUUAUCAAUUAUUAGAUUCAGUUCUAGUAUACUCAGUUACAGUAUGCACAGUAUGUUCAGUAGUUACAUAUCCUCCAUGUCUGCUAAUCGAUAUCUUGCAUAUCAUUUAGUUAGUUAUUGUUCAUGUAUAUGAACCCAUGUAUUUUGCCUUAUCUCAUUUAGCAUACCAGUACAUUCCUACGUAUUGAUUGCAUACUCGUUUCUUACACUAUGAUGUUUCAUAUCAUAGGAUCAAACGCUCUGGUUCUUGAUCGUGCUUAGCCUGAUUCACCCAGCAGUAGCAAAUUUAGCAGUGAGUCCUCAUAUAUCAAGAUAUGCUUUUAUUUUAGUACUUCAGCUUAGCAGUAUUUUAGUAGAUGGAUUUAGUUAGGGGAUCAUCCCAUCAACUCCACUUUCAGACAGUUUCAGUUAGAGGCUUUUCAAACUAGAUUUUUAGACUGUAUUUCAGAUUUAGAUGUUAUUAUUCAUUAUCAGUAGUUUAGAUAUUUUGAACCUCAUGGCAUUUCAGCCUAUUAUUCCCUAAUUAUUUUAGUAUUAUUAUUCAGUGCUCACAAUAGAUAUCAUUCAUGGGUUAGCUUGUGAUCCUUCGGGGAUACAAGCACCGUGUGAUGACUAGGGUGUAGUCUCGGGUCGUUAUAAACUUGGUAUCAGAACCUAAGGUUCAAUAGUGUCCAACGGAUUCCAAAAAGCUAUAUCACGUAGAGUCUUGUGCAUGGGUGUGUAGCGCGUCACACUUUUGGAUAGGAGGCUAUGAGAUGUUUUAGGAAAAGUUUUCCUACUUUCAGUAUUUAUGUUGUGCAAGUGAGCAUGAGCUCAAGUUAAUCUCUCAGUCUAAUCCACUUUUUCCUUUUGUUUAUAGAACAUGCCUCCCAAAAGGACUAACGAAAGAAGAAACAGAAACUAGUCAGCCCAUUCAGGUAGAUCCCCUGGACGAACAUGUCUCUUACGCAGAAUUUAGAGCUGCAUUUACUAAUCUAGCCAAUUUAGUCAUAUCCCAGAAUAAACGGCCAGCUGCUAUUUUAGCCAACCCACUAGAAAGUACUGUUGCAACCAGGAUUCAGUUCUUUACCUAAAUAAAUCCUCCUUCCUUUACAGGAUCUAAGUUAGAAGAGGAUCCAUAAGAGUUCCUCAAUCAGGUUUAGAAGAUGUAGCCCAUACGUGGUUUAAGUAGUAGAAGGUAGACAUGGGUACAGAUGCAGGGCCCAUAGAGUGGGAAAGGUUUGCUACUGCCUUCCUCAAUAGAUUCUUUCCCUUAGAGGUGAGAGAAGCCAAAGUAUUAGAGUUCAUUAAUCUCAAGCAAGGUAGUAUGAGUGAAAAAAUGUAUUCCCUCAAGUUUACUUAGUUAGCCAAGUAUGCUCCCCAUGUAGUAGCAGAUAAGGUCCAGAAUGAGUACUUUUGUAUCUGGGGUGUCAUAUCGUGUUGUUAAGGAAUGCAGAACAUCGAUGUUGAUUAAAGAGAUAGAAAUAUCUAGGCUUAUGGUCCAUGCUCAACUGAUUGAAGAGCAGAAACUUAAGAAUAAGGAGAGGAAAAACAAGAGGGCAAGAACAGGUAGCUUUAAUUUCAAUCAGCCUAAGUCAUAUGGGGGUAACCAUUCUCAGUUUCAUCCAAAGUCUUCAGUUCCAGCUCCAUUCUCAGCCAGUGUACCGAUGACCCAAGAUAGCUUAAGAAAUGGUUGUACUAAUCCAUUUUGCGGAGAGUAUGGUAAAACCAUCAGGGAAAGUGUAAGGCUGGAAGUAAUGUUUGUUAUGGCUGUGGGAAACUGGGUCAUACGCUCAGGGAGUAUCGAGUAGCUACUCAUAGAGGUAGGCAUAUGACCUUUCAAGGUCAGUCUCAUCAGUCACCAGUUCAGUCCAGUCGCCCAAAUCAGUAGGGCUCCUCUUCCAGUGCCACCCACGGUCAGCGUCUAAAUAUAUUUUAUGCACUUCAAUCCCGAUAGGAUCAGGAAAGUCCUCUUGAUGUGGUAACUGGUAAGUUACAAACCUCCCACUUAUAUGUUUAUGCCUUAUUAGAUCCAUGAGCUUCUCUAUCUUUUGUAAUUUCUUACAUAGCAGUCUAUACCAAGGUUAAACCCUGAAACAGUAGUAGGGUUAUUGAUUUAGUGACCUACAGACAUAGAACGACGACUUUAAGCUAAGGAGGAGAUGGUAGUAUAGUACAUGGUAGCAGACCAUGCAUGCUUACAGUUCCUAGUAUAAGGAGUUUCAGUUCACUUUGUAGUAUGAAUCAGGUUCCACAAGUUCAGAAAUUCCAAACUCAGGUUAUGCAUUUCAUGAUACACAUAUUCAUAUUUCCCAGUAUGCUCAAUUCUCAUGACUCAUGUUACACUCUAAAUGGUUUGUGAAGUUCAGUUUAUGCCAUAUGUUCCUCAGGCCUCAGUAGUGUGUAGAAGUUAUUCAGUCGUCCUUUAGUUAGAUAUUGUAUCGUAUAUCAUCACAGUCUUCCUUAAACCUACUCAGACCCAUAUUCAGUACCAUUACAAACUUGGUAUCAGUUACCAUCUCAUAUAAUCCUCAUGUAAGUCAUGUAUUUUAUAAAUAGAUAUUAGCCAUGUAAUCAUGCAUCAGAUAUGCAUGUUCAGUAUGUAAGUUCAGUCUAUCAGACCAGUCAUGUAAUCAUGAUUCACUUGUGUAUGUCUAUUUUAGUAUGUAAACUCAUUAUGUCCGUACUCUCUCAGCUUAACUAUCCAUAUUCGAGGAUGAAUGUUCCCAAAGGGGAGAUAUUGCAAUACCCUAUUUUUCCCUAGCCUAGAUAAACCCUCUGGGUUAUCCUAAAUAAAAUUUUUCGACUACUCAAUAAAUUUUAGAUUAGAUCCUUCCAUUGUGUAGGAAAUUCAAUUAGCUUUCCAACGAUAUAAAAUUUGCAUAAAUCUGACAAUCGAAUAAGAAGUUAUGACAAUUUUAAGUUUCAGUCAUUAAACAUUGUCAUUCAGGCCAGUAGUACGUCGCGGAGUGUGUCAAAAUAGCAAUGGUCAAUUUCUAGUGUUGCUCCGUGAUAUUGGCAUGUCGCGCCAUAGACAUAGUUCACAAUUGUCAAUUUCCAGUGUACCAAUGCGAUUCCACCGCGUCGCGAUGCACUUUCAGUUCACAAACAAAGGGGCAAUGCGAUACCACCUCAUCAUGCCACCAUGCAAUUUCCUAGUUGUCAUUUUCCAGUGACACAACGCGAUAGCGCCGCGUCGCUCCAAGGGUCCAGAUUGGAAAAAUUUCAUAAAAAAAUAAAGUUGCACCGAGGGUUAAAUUAGUCUUUUCCAAUGAUUUUAUUCUGCCCAGAUGUGGGAUUUAAGCCUAAAAAAUAUUUAAACCCUUCAUUAUUCACUUUCCCCCAAAAUCAAAAGGUAUUUCUCUCUCAAGAAAACAAACCCUAGCUCUCAAGAAUCAAGGUCAAUCCGAAGAAUCUCUCCAAGAACUCCAAGAAAAUCUCACGAAUUAAGGUAUGUUAGAUGUUCAUCCAUGUAUCUUUACCUUCCAUGGAGCCCAAUAAUCCUUUUUCCGAAAUACAAGAUUUAUGAUAUAUGAUUUUCAUGUUUGAAUUAGAUUGAAUUCAUGUUCAUGGUGUUGUUGAGUUUUAAUCCAUGAUUUAGAUUACAUGUUCCAAGAAUUGAUUCUAGUAUGUGUUGAAUUACAUGAUAUUCAUGAUAAAACCUUUAAUUUGCAAGUUGAUUAUUGUAACCAUGUUAACUCUAAGUGUUUAUGACUUAAUGAAACAAGUAUGCUUCUUAUUUGUUUGAUAAAUUGUCUAUGAGAAUGAAAUAAUGCCAUUAUAGCAUGCUAACAUGUAUUUCCUAUCUAUGUAAAAGUUAAUGCAUUACAUAUGUUUGAUGAAAUGUCUUGAUGAAUGAAUUAUGCCCAAGUGAACAUUGUUAUGUUAUUCAAGAUGAUGCUUUGCUUUACUAUUUAUGUUAUCAAGUCCUGGGGGUAUUUAAUACCUGAUAAUUUAGUUGUUUACCUAGAGAUAGUGCCAGUAAUAGAAUAGUAUCAGUCAUGUCACGAUCAGUAGUAUUCUUAGUCAGUUAUAGACCUCAGUAGAAUUUAGUCAGUUACAGAACUUAGGAAAACUCAGUAAUCUUAGUAUUAGUCUAGUCCAAUUCAGUAUACUCAGUUCAGUGUAUUUCAGUUGGGAGUAGGAACUAGUACCUAGUGAGUGUGGAGGUGAUGACUUCUCCUUUCAGGUAGACAGAGUCGUUAGUAGCAGUCUCACACUACAGAACUACGUAUCCAGUGUAGGAUGAGAGGUGUCACCCGUCAGAUUAAGGCUUGGCUACCUCCCAGGGUUCACCCAUCAUAUUAGGCUUGACUUUCUGUUCAGGGUCACCCAUCAGAUAGGCUUGUACCAGAGCAGUGUCUUUCCCCAUGGUAUGGUACUAGUACCCUUCUAACUAGGGUUACAGGUUGGACCCCACUUAUCUUACUCAGGGGCAUGUCGGUUAAGUGGGAACUCUUUCAAGUUCAGUUUCAGUCUCAGUCUUUAGAAUAUAACUCUGUUUAGUUCUACAAAAUCAGGACGGUCAGAUACAGUCAUUCAGUUAUCAGUAAUUCAAAUUAUCAGUGAUCUCAGAUUAUCAGUAUAUUCAGUUAUCAGUUAUCAGAUUCAGUUCUAGUAUACUCAGUUACUGUAUGCACAAUAUGUUCAGUAGUUAGAGAUCUUCCAUGUCUGCUAAUCCAGCUCUUGCAUAUAAUUCAGUUAGUUAUUGUUCAUACAUAUGAACCCAUGCAUUUAACCUUACCUCAUUUAGCAUACCAGUACAUUCCUACGUACUGAUCGCAUACCCAUUUCUUAUGCUAUGAUAUUUUAUAUCUUAGGUUCAGACACUCUGGUUCCUGACCGCGGUUAGCCAAAUUCAG
This 9808-nucleotide long non-coding RNA is filed under the name Capsicum annuum. Its description in RNAcentral is "long non-coding RNA (CANN_LNC004972)". Lineage: Eukaryota; Viridiplantae; Streptophyta; Magnoliopsida; Solanales; Solanaceae. The record is from RNAcentral.